This 508-nucleotide ribosomal RNA is filed under the name uncultured bacterium. RNAcentral describes it as "partial 16S ribosomal RNA". It matches the Rfam family "Bacterial small subunit ribosomal RNA", at positions 30 to 523 of the family's 1533-position model. The record is from RNAcentral.
AUUGAACGCUAGCGGGAUGCUUUACACAUGCAAGUCGAACGGUAGCACGAAGAAAGCUUGCUUUCUUUGGUGACGAGUGGCGAACGGGUGAGUAAUGUAUCGGAACGUACCCAGUAGCGGGGGAUAACUACGCGAAAGCGUGGCUAAUACCGCAUACGCCCUACGGGGGAAAGGGGGGGAUCGCAAGACCUCUCACUAUUGGAGCGGCCGAUAUCGGAUUAGCUAGUUGGUGGGGUAAAGGCCCACCAAGGCGACGGUCCGUAGCUGGUUUGAGAGGACGACCAGCCACACUGGGACAGAGACACGGCCCAGACUCCUACGGGAGGCAGCAGUGGGGAAUUUUGGACAAUGGGGGCAACCCUGAUCCAGCCAUCCCGCGUGUGCGAUGAAGGCCUUCGGGUUGUAAAGCACUUUUGGCAGAGAAGAAACGACUCUGGAUAAUACCCGGGGUUAAUGACGGUAUCUGCAGAAUAAGCACCGGCUAACUACGUGCCAGCAGCCGCAGUAA